This 500-nucleotide ribosomal RNA is filed under the name uncultured bacterium. Its description in RNAcentral is "partial 16S ribosomal RNA". It matches the Rfam family "Bacterial small subunit ribosomal RNA", at positions 29 to 507 of the family's 1533-position model. The record is from RNAcentral.
AAUCAACGCUGGCGGCGUGCCUAACACAUGCGAGUCGAACGCGAAAGCCCCGCAAGGGGUAAGUAGAGUGGCAAACGGGUGAGUAACACGUGGGUGACCUGCCUUCGAGUGGGGGAUAACGUCCCGAAAGGGACGCUAAUACCGCAUGACAUCCUGCUUUUGAAAAAGCGGAGAUCAAAGCUGGGGAUCGCAAGACCUAGCGCUUGAAGAGGGGCCCGCGCCUGAUUAGCUAGUUGGUGAGGUAACGGCUCACCAAGGCGACGAUCAGUAUCCGGCCUGAGAGGGCGGACGGACACACUGGGACUGAGACACGGCCCAGACUCCUACGGGGGGCAGCAGUGGGGAAUUGUUCGCAAUGGGCGCAAGCCUGACGACGCAACGCCGCGUGGAGGACGAAGAUCUUCGGGUCGUAAACUCCUGUCGAGCGGGACGAACGCUUCGCGGAUGAAUAAUCCGCGGAAUUGACGGUACCGCUAAAGGAAGCCCCGGCUAACUCCGUG